GCAACAGAUUCUUUUGAAACUGUGAUGCACAAGGGAUAAAGAAUGGAUCUGAAAGGAGAAAAUGAAGUGCUUCUAGAAUGGCAUGCUUCAGGUGACCAAGAGCAAGCAGACUUGACAGCUGAUAAGUUUGGAUGCUGCUAGCAUCUUCCUGAUUCGCCUAAUUCUGCCUGGUAAUUGCUGCAAAUGUGGCAUGUUGCAUCCCACACAUUUCUGAGACAUCUAUUACUUUGGAAAAUGCUGUCAGUUCUGGAAGCUGGAAAGUCCAAGAAGAAGGUGCCAGUAGACCUGGUUUCUGGUGAAGGUCUGACACCCACUGUGUCCUCACUAGUUCUAUUAUAUCAGAACUCUCCCUGACCUCUUUUAAUCUUAAUCACUUCCUAAAGGCCCUAUAUCCAAUACAGUCAUGGGGGAGGAUUUGAGGGCUUGAAAAUACGUGUUGGGGGAACACAAUACAAUCCACAGCACCAUGUUUGACAUGUACAUUCUCAGAUUUUCUGGCAUUAAUAGAUAGUUCCUUUCCCAUAAACAGGAUCCUACAAGUGAAUCCAACGUGCUGUCUCUGUGAGACGCAACCCCCUGGCUUCAUCAGUAGGUGCACCCAGGGUCAUUCCCUGGAGUGACGACACAUACCCAAGGCCAAUGAUUAUGUAGCUGGAAAAGAAACUGAAGUUCAUUAAACAAACUAAUUGAAUUUAUGUUUCAAACU
Molecule: long non-coding RNA, 706 nt
Organism: Talpa occidentalis (Iberian mole)
Lineage: Eukaryota; Metazoa; Chordata; Mammalia; Eulipotyphla; Talpidae
Exons: 3
Source: RefSeq, a predicted model, not a curated record